CGAUGGCGACCGGCGCACGGGUGAGUAACGCGUAUGCAACCUGCCCGAUACCGGGGUAUAGCCCAUGGAAACGUGGAUUAACACCCCAUAGUACUUUUAUCCUGCAUGGGAUGUGAGUUAAAUGUUUAAGGUAUCGGAUGGGCAUGCGUCCUAUUAGUUAGUUGGCGGGGUAACAGCCCACCAAGACGAUGAUAGGUAGGGGUUCUGAGAGGAAGGUCCCCCACAUUGGAACUGAGACACGGUCCAA
Molecule: ribosomal RNA, 247 nt
Filed under: uncultured bacterium
Lineage: Bacteria
Description: partial 16S ribosomal RNA
Rfam family: Bacterial small subunit ribosomal RNA
Source: RNAcentral